GAAUUUUGGACAAUGGGCGAGAGCCUGAUCCAGCAAUGCCGCGUGCAGGAUGAAGGCCUUCGGGUUGUAAACUGCUUUUGUACGGAACGAAAAGCUUUGGGUUAAUACCCUGGAGUCAUGACUGUCCCGUAAGACUAACCACCGGCCACCUACACGCCGGCAACCGCGGUAAAACGUAGGGUGCAAGCGUUAAUCGGGAUUACUGGGCGUAAAGCGUGCGCAGGCGGUUUUGUAAGACAGAGGUGAAAUCCCCGGGCUCAACCUGGGAACUGCCUUUGUGACUGCAAGGCUAGAGUACGGCAGAGGGGGGUGGAAUUCCGCGUGUAGCAGUGAAAUGCGUAGAUAUGCGGAGGAACACCGAUGGCGAAGGCAACCCCCUGGGCCUGUACUGACGCUCAUGCACGAAAGCGUGGGGAGCAAAC
This 422-nucleotide ribosomal RNA is filed under the name uncultured bacterium. Its description in RNAcentral is "partial 16S ribosomal RNA". It matches the Rfam family "Bacterial small subunit ribosomal RNA", at positions 359 to 773 of the family's 1533-position model. The record is from RNAcentral.